AACGAACGCUGGCGGCAUGCCUAACACAUGCAAGUCGAACGAGACCUUCGGGUCUAGUGGCGCACGGGUGCGUAACGCGUGGGAACCUGCCCUUAGGUUCGGAAUAACUCCCCGAAAGGGGUGCUAAUACCGGAUAAUGUCUUCGGACCAAAGAUUUAUCGCCUUUGGAUGGGCCCGCGUUGGAUUAGCUAGUUGGUAGGGUAAAAGCCUACCAAGGCGACGAUCCAUAGCUGGUCUGAGAGGAUGAUCAGCCACACUGGGACUGAGACACGGCCCAGACUACUACGGGAGGCAGCAGUGGGGAAUAUUGGAAAAUGGGCGAAAGCCUGAUCCAGCAAUGCCGCGUGAGUGAUGAAGGCCUUAGGGUUGUAAAGCUCUUUUACCCGGGAUGAUAAUGACAGUACCGGGAGAAUAAGCUCCGGCUAACUCCGUG
Molecule: ribosomal RNA, 433 nt
Filed under: uncultured bacterium
Lineage: Bacteria
Description: partial 16S ribosomal RNA
Rfam family: Bacterial small subunit ribosomal RNA
Source: RNAcentral